UGUGGUGGAAUUUCCUCUCACAGGGGCACAGGGAUAUUGCUCAGGGAAACUAUCAACAAUGAAGCUGUGGGAGAUAAGAAAGGAAAUGCUGUUAAAAACAGCUUUAACCGUGUUUGUCCUCUCAUGUUUCCUGGGACGUCUGGACUGUGAAGAGCUAACAGUCAAACAAGCAAAGGAUGUAACUCUGGAGUGCUAUGGCCCCAGUGAUGCUAACAUAAUGAUAAGCUGGCAAAAGCCUGACCUGCAGUCAGAGUAUUAUGUGUUCUACUUCAGCGAUGAACACAUUCACAAAGACAAACAGCAUGAAUCAUUUAAAGGUCGAGUGGAGCUGAAAGAUCCAGAGAUAAAGAAUGGAAACUUUUCUAUGAUUCUCAAAAAUGUCACCAUGAACGACGCUGGAAUAUAUGAAUGUUAUGCUGGAUACAACAGACAGAGACCUCAGCUUUUGAAGAGCAUCAACCUGAAGGUAAAAGAAGAAGGUCAGACAGUACUCGAUAAGGACAAAGACCAGAGGAGUGGAGCUGAUGGCGUAGAAGUUGACAUGUCGAUUUCCGUUGUGCUUGCUGCUGCUGUUUUGUUGUUUUAGCCGUCUGUUGAACUGCAGCCAGUUUGAAAGGCCACAGAUGGAAAUAUCACAGUGUAUAUUCACUCCACCCACCCACUCAGCAUUCACAGUGACAGAUGUGCUGAGGACAGACAGAAGUUAACGAUGCACAAUUAAACUGGAAUUUAGCACCUGGAGGAAACAUUAAGUUAUGUUCGUGUUUGUGAUUAUCUGAAGUUUCCUGCUCAACAUACAUGUUUGUUUACAUUGUUAUCUGCUGCCUUUUUUAGUCACCAUCAAAUAUCACUGAGCUAUUAUGAAUUCUGAAUUUUACAUUUUGAUAUUUUUGUCCUACAUAUUUUUCAUUUUACAUUUUAUUUUGAUAUUUUACAUGUUUUUUGCAUUUUUAAAGGCUUAAAAUACUGUUGAGAAGGAAGGUUACAUUAUAUGUAAAGAGGGCCAAAUAUAAGCCCUGACGGCCAUCACUAGUCCACUGGAUGACUUUGAAAAAUAUAAAAUGUGAAUUAAAAAAGAAAAAGUAAGAUGUUGGACUAUUUACUGUAUUUUGUCAUUAACAGUGGAUAACAUCAUGAGAAUCGAUCAUAGAUUAUUUUUUUUUAAACUAUUAGUAUAAAGAACAAAGUUUUUAUAACAAAUUCUCAGGAUUGAUGAAUCUGUAACAUCAGCAAAAUGUUUUACACUUGGUCAUGUGCAAUAAAGGACAUGUGAAUGAAUCCAGUGCAUGUACGAGCAGAUUAACACCAGCCUGGCUUGCAAC
This is a long non-coding RNA of Astatotilapia calliptera (eastern happy), 1322 nucleotides long. NCBI's taxonomy places the organism in Eukaryota, Metazoa, Chordata, Actinopteri, Cichliformes, Cichlidae. The record is from Ensembl.